AGGCAUGGACAUUGUGAAGUUGAUCGAGUCCCAGGAGACUGAUAGGGGUGACCGUCCAAGGAAGAGGGUUGUCAUCAGUGACUGUGGUGAGCUACCUAUAGUUUGAGGCGAGAAUAUAACUGUUUAGCACUUCAUCUUUGCACACAAUGGAUAUAUGGACCGUUGUGAGAUAUAGAGCAUAUUCAGUAGUGAGUUUUCAUCCAAAUCCCAGGCUUUUUUUCUUCUUCUUUUUCUGGGUUUGUUGGAUUUCAAAUUACAGGGUAAAAAGUUCUUGCUAGAAGCGACUACGAUGUUUUCCUGUUAACGUGGAUGUAUGCAAUUUCAGUUAACAUUGAAUAUUGAUGGGAUGGUAAGAGACUAUUGUUGCUUUU
RNAcentral lists this unclassified non-coding RNA (371 nucleotides) under Hevea brasiliensis (rubber tree). The record is from RNAcentral. Lineage: Eukaryota; Viridiplantae; Streptophyta; Magnoliopsida; Malpighiales; Euphorbiaceae.